RNAcentral lists this long non-coding RNA (584 nucleotides) under Danio rerio (zebrafish). RNAcentral describes it as "lncRNA (ENSDARG00000117270.1)". The record is from RNAcentral. Lineage: Eukaryota; Metazoa; Chordata; Actinopteri; Cypriniformes; Danionidae.
AUCUGCUAAAUGUAUAAAUGUAAAUGAAAUCUGCUUCAUCCACAGGAGCUGAAAUUAUGUAAACAAGGCUUCAAAUGCCAUCUCUAUCCUGUAAUCCUGUAAUAUACACAUUUUAGCAUCCGGAAUGAAGCAGAGGUUGCAAAUGAACAUAAACGUGAUAAGCAGGUUACGUCUGAUCCUGACUGAGCAGGACUGAACAUAAUUACCGAAGGGCGAAAUCUCUUUCUUCACACAUCCAGACCCACUCUCAUCGUCUGGGCUGCAGGUGUGUGUGAAUCCUGUGCAAUGUCACAGUGUUAAAUCUGUAAGCCCUGAUCAGGAUGAAGUGUUUGAGUGAGCUCAGCAGUGCUUCAUUUUGCCCCGAACAGAAACAUCUGAUCCCUCGCUCUCCUGGAACGGCCCACAGACCUGCAGCCAGAUCAUCCGUCUGUCAGUGCACAUCAGCGGUGUGUGCUGACUGGAGGUUCUCCAGUGAAAAUUAAAUGUGAUUGGUGCAGCACAGCGAGACGAGGACGACCUGCUGCCAGAAGUAGAUGAGUGUCAUUCAUUACAGCUGUAACUUAUGCUUCUUCCCAAUCCACGCA